Molecule: ribosomal RNA, 274 nt
Filed under: uncultured bacterium
Lineage: Bacteria
Description: partial 16S ribosomal RNA
Rfam family: Bacterial small subunit ribosomal RNA
Source: RNAcentral
AUACGGAGGGAACAAGCGUUACUCGGAAUCACUGGGCAUAAAGGGGGUAUAGGCGGGCGAAUAAGUCCGGUGUGAAAGCCCCCGGCUCAACCGGGGAAUGCCAUCGGAAACUGUUCGUCUUGAGUGCGGGAGGGGAGAGCGGAACUCCUGGUGGAGCGGUGAAAUGCGUAGAUAUCAGGAGGAACGCCGGUGGCGAAAGCGGCUCUCUGGCCCGUUACUGACGCUGAGGCCCGAAAGCUAGGGUAGCGAACGGGAUUAGAUACCCCAGUAGUCC